GACGAACGCUGGCGGCGUGCUUAACACAUGCAAGUCGAGCGGUAAGGCCCUUUCGGGGGUACACGAGCGGCGAACGGGUGAGUAACACGUGGGUGACCUGCCCUCAGCUCUGGGAUAAGCCUGGGAAACCGGGUCUAAUACUGGACAUGACUCCAUGACGCAUGUUGUGGGGUGGAAAGCCUUGUGCGGCUGAGGAUGGGCCCGCGGCCUAUCAGCUUGUUGGUGGGGUGANGGCCUACCAAGGCGACGACGGGUAGCCGGCCUGAGAGGGCGACCGGCCACACUGGGACUGAGACACGGCCCAGACUCCUACGGGAGGCAGCAGUGGGGAAUCUUGCGCAAUGGGCGAAAGCCUGACGCAGCGACGCCGCGUGAGGGAUGACGG
RNAcentral lists this ribosomal RNA (385 nucleotides) under uncultured bacterium. RNAcentral describes it as "bacterial SSU rRNA". It matches the Rfam family "Bacterial small subunit ribosomal RNA", at positions 28 to 414 of the family's 1533-position model. The record is from RNAcentral.